RNAcentral lists this ribosomal RNA (640 nucleotides) under uncultured Alphaproteobacteria bacterium. RNAcentral describes it as "bacterial SSU rRNA". It matches the Rfam family "Bacterial small subunit ribosomal RNA", at positions 30 to 707 of the family's 1533-position model. The record is from RNAcentral. Lineage: Bacteria; Pseudomonadati; Pseudomonadota; Alphaproteobacteria.
AGUACGCUGGCGGCUGCUUACACCUGCAGCUCGAAACGCUAUUUAUAGAGUGGCGCACGGGUGAGUAACGCGUGGGAAACUGCCCUUCUGAGUGGGAUAACGUUUGGAAACGAACGCUAAUACCACAUACGCCCUACGGGGGAAAGGUCCGCCGCAGAAGGAGGUGCCCGCGUCCGAUUAGCUAGUUGGUGAGGUAAUGGCUCACCAAGGCGACGAUCGGUAGCUGGUCUGAGAGGAUGAUCAGCCACACUGGGACUGAGACACGGCCCAGACUCCUACGGGAGGCAGCAGUGGGGAAUAUUGGACAAUGGGGGCAACCCUGAUCCAGCAAUGCCGAGUGUGUGAUGAAGGCCCUAGAGGUUGUAAAGCACUUUCACUGGUGAAGAUGAUGACGGUAGCCAGAGAAGAAGCCCCGGACUAACUUCGAUGCCAGCAGACCGCGGUAAUACGAAGGGGGCGAGCGUUAUUCGGAAUUACUGGGCGUACAAGGGAGCGCAGGCGGUUCAUUUAGUCACGACGUGAAAGCCCCGGGCUCAACCACGGGAGGUGCGUAUGAUACUGGUGAGCUAGGAAAUCAGAAGAGGAUACGUGGAAUUCCACAAGAUAGUAGAGGUGAAAUUCGUAAGAUAUCGGGAAGAAC